AGAUUGAACGCUGGCGGCAUGCCUAACACAUGCAAGUCGAACGGGAGUAGCAAUACUCUAGUGGCGGACGGGUGAGGAAUACGUAGGAAUUUGCCCUUAAGUGGGGGAUAACCCGGGGAAACCCGGAUUAAUACCGCAUGACCUCGAAAGAGCAAAGUGGGGGAUCGCAAGACCUCACGCUUUUGGAGAAGCCUACGUCGGAUUAGCUAGUUGGUGAGGUAAUGGACUCACCAAGGCGACGAUCCGUAACUGGUCUGAGAGGAUGAUCAGUCACACCGGAACUGAGACACCGGUCCGGACUCCGUACGGGAGGCAGCGAGUGGGGAAUAGUUAGGACAAGUGGGACGCGAAGCCUGAUCCAGCAAGUGCCGCGUGUGUGAAGGAACGGCCGUUCGGUU
Molecule: ribosomal RNA, 398 nt
Filed under: uncultured soil bacterium
Lineage: Bacteria
Description: bacterial SSU rRNA
Rfam family: Bacterial small subunit ribosomal RNA
Source: RNAcentral